UACGAAGGGGGCUAGCGUUGCUCGGAAUUACUGGGCGUAAAGCGCGUGUAGGUGGAUUGGUGUGUCAGAUGUGAAAGCCCUGGGCUCAACCCAGGAACUGCACCUGAAACUACCAGUCUUGAGUGGUGGAGAGGGAAGUGGAAUUCCUGGUGUAGAGGUGAAAUUCGUAGAUAUCAGGAGGAACACCAGUGGCGAAGGCGGCUUCCUGGACACCAACUGACGCUGAGACGCGAAAGCGUGGGGAGCAAACAGG
This 253-nucleotide ribosomal RNA is filed under the name uncultured bacterium. Its description in RNAcentral is "partial 16S ribosomal RNA". It matches the Rfam family "Bacterial small subunit ribosomal RNA", at positions 524 to 776 of the family's 1533-position model. The record is from RNAcentral.